GUAGGCAUCUUGUGGUUAAUGGAGACAGAUGGUCUUCCCUUGAUAGAUGCUUCUGGAAAGUUAACAUUCCAGCAGUGACGGUUACAUUCCUGUCAGGCAGGACUUCAGGAAGAGAGGAACUCCGCACCGUUUGAUCAGGAUUCCCAGGUGUGACUUUGCAGGCAUUUUAUUAAUGCUUUUACGAGUUAGAAGAGUUGGGAUAAUUUGCCAUCUGGAGUUUCUCUGCCUUGCUGAUCUGAGCUCAGACCUGCCAAUUUACCAGAGAUAAUUGAUAACACCCUGUAACAGCUGAAGACAGAGUCUUACCCUGUCACCCAGGCUGGAGUACAAUGGUGCGAUCUCGGCUCACUGCAACCUCUGCCUCCUGGGUUCAAGUGAUUCUUCUGCCUCAGCCUCCUGAGUAGCUGGG
This 409-nucleotide long non-coding RNA is filed under the name Homo sapiens (human). RNAcentral's name for it is "non-protein coding LINC-PINT:61". The record is from RNAcentral. Lineage: Eukaryota; Metazoa; Chordata; Mammalia; Primates; Hominidae.